GAUGAACGCUGGCGGCGUGCCUAAUACAUGCAAGUCGAGCGAACAGACGAGGAGCUUGCUCCUCUGACGUUAGCGGCGGACGGGUGAGUAACACGUGGAUAACCUACCUAUAAGACUGGGAUAACUUCGGGAAACCGGAGCUAAUACCGGAUAAUAUAUUGAACCGCAUGGUUCAAUAGUGAAAGACGGUUUUGCUGUCACUUAUAGAUGGAUCCGCGCCGCAUUAGCUAGUUGGUAAGGUAACGGCUUACCAAGGCAACGAUGCGUAGCCGACCUGAGAGGGUGGUCGGCCACACUGGAACUGAGACACGGUCCCGACUCCGACGGGAGGCAGCAGUAGGGAAUCUUCCGCAAGGGGGGAAAGCCUGACGGAGCAACGCCGCGUGAGUGAUGAAGGUCUUCGGAUCGUAAAACUCUGUUAUUAGGGAAGAACAAAUGUGUAAGUAACUAUGCACGUCUUGACGGUACCUAAUCAGAAAGCCACGGCUAACUACGUG
This 497-nucleotide ribosomal RNA is filed under the name uncultured bacterium. Its description in RNAcentral is "partial 16S ribosomal RNA". It matches the Rfam family "Bacterial small subunit ribosomal RNA", at positions 28 to 507 of the family's 1533-position model. The record is from RNAcentral.